This is a non-coding RNA of Ameiurus melas (black bullhead), 74 nucleotides long. The record is from the annotation of a GenBank genome assembly. Lineage: Eukaryota; Metazoa; Chordata; Actinopteri; Siluriformes; Ictaluridae.
GGAAGUGGUAGCUCAGCGGUUAAGAUGUUGGUCUUCUGAUCGGAAGGUUGUGAGUUCUAACCUCAGCACUGCCA